CUUAAAGUGCACAUUCUUGUUCAUUGUUCAUAUAUAUAUAUAUAUAUUUGUUUUGUACAUAAGGAAAUGGUUUUGUACAUAAGGAAAUGUCAGCAGUUUUUGUUUCAACAGGAAGUUCUGCUUUUGCAUUUUUCGCUGAAUGUUUAUUCUGUGAAUUUGUAAUUUAGAGGAAGACUAUUCUUGCAGCAAAGUUUAAUUGAGCUGUGCAAGGUGCAAUUUCAGAAUUAGUUUGUGCAUAUUUUGUAAGUUACUUGUUUCAUCAGGUGAUGAGAUUAAUACAGAUUUUUAAAAAAGAACACAUGGUCUAUUAUUUACACCUAACAUAUAACUGCAACAUUGUUUUUAAAAAAAAGACUUGAAAGGACUUGAAAUUCAAAGUGUGCGACUUGGGACUUGACUUGAAAGUUGUCUGUCUUGACUUACGACUUGACUCGGACUUGCUUGACUUUACUUGAGACUUGACUCUGACUUGAGGAUAAAGACUUAAGACUUACUUGAGACUUGCAAAACAAUGACUUGGUCCCACCUCUGUUAAAUAAUAGUGAUAUUUUCAAUUUAUUGAACACAUUUAAUUAAAUCCAAAGAGCCCUUUCCACAUCCUUUCUGAGCAUGCGCAGAGAAUGAAAAAAAUCUUCGCGCAUACGCAUUCACCUUCUUCAUCUACGCCACAGUGUGCUUUGGCCACGUGUCUGGAAAGAGCGAUUCAUCGUGAUUCAUCCGUUGGAGUCAAGGUUGCUGCUUGUGGAAUUUGGAGCUGUGGAGAUUUGAGCUGUGCUCCAAAAAUGCAUGUUAAAGGUACAAAAUGCUUUCAUAUUAUUUACUUUUUCCUUAAUACGCAAUUUUACAUUUUGAAUUCUCUUAUUUGGUCUUUUAGGUUAUAAAUGUGGUGUUGUAAGCUUUGCUCUUUAAGUGUAUCUAAAAGGUACCAAAUUCUAAAACACUUGAGACUUAAACACUCAAUUCCUGGUCUGAGACGCUCAUAUCCGUGCAUUUACAGUCAUUGUCUUUGUACUUUCAAAACAUGGGGUGGUCUUAGGACUCAUCUAAGUCGUGCACAUGUUGCUAAGUAGGGUUGCAAAGGGGCGGAAAAUUUUCGGUAAAUUUCCGAAAAGUUUCCGGUAAAUUUCCAUGGUAAGUUAAGCUUGGGAAUUUUGGAAAUAUUCCAUAUUGGAAACUUUCCAUGGAAAUAAUGGGAAUUAUGGAAAUUAAUGGGAAUUUAGGAGAACUAACUGGGAAUAUAUUAUUUCCAAGCAUAAAUAUAAACAGAAAUCAUAAGAAAACCUCCAUGCAAAAUGUUUUCAACAGAUAUUUCAACGGAUUUAUUUGUAAGUACAGUAGAAUAGAACACGUUUCAAUAACUUGUUUCAUGGAUGAAUAAAAACAGAAAUGUUGAUUUCAAUAUUGCCAUCCCCUAACCCCGCUCAUUCGAAAAUGCCCCCUGUCCAGAAAUCUCCACAAAGUCCCAUUCAAAAGGUUAAACUUAUCCUUCAAAACGUCCCAUUAAACAUGCAAAUCUUCCUUCAAGCAAUCCUCUUUUCUCAUUUUUGCUCAGUCAAUAGACUCUUCCUGGACCUCAUCAUCAUCCAACAACAUGUCCACUU
This is a long non-coding RNA of Oreochromis niloticus (Nile tilapia), 1601 nucleotides long. Lineage: Eukaryota; Metazoa; Chordata; Actinopteri; Cichliformes; Cichlidae. The record is from Ensembl.